This 414-nucleotide long non-coding RNA is filed under the name Solanum lycopersicum (tomato). RNAcentral's name for it is "long non-coding RNA (SLYC_LNC000405)". The record is from RNAcentral. Lineage: Eukaryota; Viridiplantae; Streptophyta; Magnoliopsida; Solanales; Solanaceae.
CGACGAGCAUCCUUGUUCCUCUUAUUAGCAGAUUUCUUAAACAACUUUAUAGCCUGCUCCUUCUGGGGUUUGUCCUUGAAGCCCUCCCCUGGAACAAAUUCACUUCGAGGUCGUGACAUUGACCUUGAUCUUGCCAUGGAAAGUGAUCUAGACCUACGUUGCUUCUUGCUGGGAGUAAUCUCAUCAACAUCCAUUGCAUCAUUACCAUUGUCAUCUCCACAUUCAACUGAUCUCUCUCGCUUACGACCCCUUGACUUACUUCGAGCUCGAUUGAUUGCUAGAGUUGGAUCCAAUCCCAGAGCAGAUAACUGUCUUCCCAUUCUUUUUGAAGUAAAUUCCUUGUCUUUAUCAAACUUUCUUGGUACUGUGGGCCUGCUCUCUGCGGUGCUCUUCUUCACUCUAUGCUGCUGAAUG